GACGAACCGAGCAAACGUUAUUCGGAAUCACUGGGCUUAAAGGGCGCGUAGGCGGGUCAGCAAGUCAGGGGUGAAAGCCCCCAGCUCAACUGGGGAAGUGCCUUUGAUACUGUUGAUCUCGAGGGAGGUAGGGGCGUGCGGAACUUCCGGUGGAGCGGUGAAAUGCGUAGAUAUCGGAAGGCACACCGGUGGCGAAAGCGGCGCGCUGGACCGCUUCUGGCGCUGAGGCGCGAAAGCCGGGGGAGCAAACGGG
RNAcentral lists this ribosomal RNA (253 nucleotides) under uncultured bacterium. RNAcentral's name for it is "partial 16S ribosomal RNA". It matches the Rfam family "Bacterial small subunit ribosomal RNA", at positions 524 to 776 of the family's 1533-position model. The record is from RNAcentral.